RNAcentral lists this small nuclear RNA (19 nucleotides) under Arabidopsis thaliana (thale cress). Its description in RNAcentral is "snRNA_10923". The record is from RNAcentral. Lineage: Eukaryota; Viridiplantae; Streptophyta; Magnoliopsida; Brassicales; Brassicaceae.
AACAGUCAGCUCAGAACUG